CAGGCGUUGAACAAUAAACUUCAAUUCCUUUGCACCCACACCGAGAGUCCCCUUAAACCAAGCUCUGAGCAAAUAAAGUUUCGGGCUUGAUUUAAGAGGACUCUUCGUGCGC
MicroRNA precursor from Taeniopygia guttata (zebra finch), 112 nucleotides. NCBI's taxonomy places the organism in Eukaryota, Metazoa, Chordata, Aves, Passeriformes, Estrildidae. The record is from Ensembl.